GUAGUCCACGCCGUAAACGAUGUCAACUAGCCGUUGGGAGCCUUGAGCUCUUAGUGGCGCAGCUAACGCAUUAAGUUGACCGCCUGGGGAGUACGGCCGCAAGGUUAAAACUCAAAUGAAUUGACGGGGGCCCGCACAAGCGGUGGAGCAUGUGGUUUAAUUUGAAGCAACGCGAAGAACCUUCCCAGGCCUUGACAUCCAAUGAACUUUCCAGAGAUGGAUUGGUGCCUUCGGGAACAUUGAGACAGGUGCUGCAUGGCUGUCGUCAGCUCGUGUCUUGAGAUGUUGGGUUAAGUCCCGUAACGAGCGCAACCCUUGUCCUUAGUUACCAGCACGUUAUGGUGGGCACUCUAAGGAGACUUCCGGUGACAAACCGGAGGAAGGUGGUGAUGACGUCAAGUCAUCAUGGCCCUUACGGCUUGGGCUACACACGUGCUACAAUGGUCGGUACAGAGGGUUGCCAAGCCGCGAGGUGGAGCUAAUCCCACAAAACCGAUUGUAGUCCGGAUCGCAGUCUGCAACUCGACUGCGUGAAGUCGGAAUCGCUAGUAAUCGCGAAUCAGAAUGUCGCGGUGAAUACGUUCCCGGGCCUUGUACACACCGCCCGUCACACCAUGGGAGUGGGUUGCACCAGAAGUAGCUAGUCUAAC
This 650-nucleotide ribosomal RNA is filed under the name Pseudomonas sp. AD79. RNAcentral's name for it is "bacterial SSU rRNA". It matches the Rfam family "Bacterial small subunit ribosomal RNA", at positions 790 to 1439 of the family's 1533-position model. Lineage: Bacteria; Pseudomonadati; Pseudomonadota; Gammaproteobacteria; Pseudomonadales; Pseudomonadaceae. The record is from RNAcentral.